Molecule: transfer RNA, 100 nt
Filed under: Aureispira sp. CCB-E
Lineage: Bacteria; Pseudomonadati; Bacteroidota; Saprospiria; Saprospirales; Saprospiraceae
Description: tRNA-OTHER
Source: RNAcentral
GGGCAUUUCGUCUUAUGGGUAAGACGCCUCCAGCCAUCUUAGUAUUUAGGUUUUAAGAUGAUUGGAGGAAAGGAAAGUUCGAAUCUUUCAAUGCUCACCA